GACGAACGCUGGCGGCGUGCUUAACACAUGCAAGUCGAACGGAAAGGCCCUGCUUGCCGGGUACUCGAGUGGCGAACGGGUGAGUAACACGUGGGUGAUCUGCCCUGCACUUCGGGAUAAGCUUGGGAAACUGGGUCUAAUACCGGAUAGGAGCCAUCUUUAGUGUGGUGGUUGGAAAGUUUUUUCGGUGUAGGAUGAGCUCGCGGCCUAUCAGCUUGUUGGUGGGGUAAUGGCCUACCAAGGCGGCGACGGGUAGCCGGCCUGAGAGGGUGUACGGCCACAUUGGGACUGAGAUACGGCCCAGACUCCUACGGGAGGCAGCAGUGGGGAAUAUUGCACAAUGGGCGCAAGCCUGAUGCAGCGACGCCGCGUGGGGGAUGAAGGCCUUCGGGUUGUAAACUCCUUUCGCUAGGGACGAAGCUUUUUGUGACGGUACCUAGAUAAGAAGCACCGGCUAACUACGG
This 464-nucleotide ribosomal RNA is filed under the name uncultured bacterium. RNAcentral describes it as "partial 16S ribosomal RNA". It matches the Rfam family "Bacterial small subunit ribosomal RNA", at positions 28 to 506 of the family's 1533-position model. The record is from RNAcentral.